CCUGCCCCCACUGCAUUUCACUGCCAGUACAAACACUAUAAAAGUUCAGCUGGCUUCUUGUAAUUUUGCCCUUCCUCAUGCCAGGAGUUUAUUCUCUGUGCUGUUACAAAUGCUCUCUGCCUGCUGCAGGGGAGGCAGGCCUGGCACUUCCCUUUGGGGUGCCUCCCACAAGGACAGCAUAAGGAGGAAAGAUCACAGGCUCCCAGCCUCACUGGUGCCUUCCCUCACUGCAAAGGAAACUCCAGGGUGCAUUUUUCCCGAAGUGCCAUUUUUCUGGAGGCAUGCCACUAGAUGUUGUUUCAUUCAAGACACAUGCUUCUAAUCUUACAGGAGAUGUAGAGAGAUCCUGCUAUCAUUUACAGCCCUCCUGGGACCUCCGUUAGAGCAUCGUUGUCAUCCACAAUUAAGACCAAUUCUAACUGAAAGAAUAAUGAAGGCCAACACAGUGAUGUUAUAUGAAUGGAGAACCUGUCUUUAAGUGGAGGAAGUAAAAGAGUUU
Molecule: long non-coding RNA, 499 nt
Organism: Parus major (Great Tit)
Lineage: Eukaryota; Metazoa; Chordata; Aves; Passeriformes; Paridae
Source: Ensembl